GGCCAACUUGAAUCCAGGACUAUGACCUCCAAAGCCCACCAACUUGAACAUUAUAUAUACUCUAAUGUUAAUAGUUCCCAUUUCUUUUGUUUCUAAUGAUACCAGGUAAAUAGGCACAUGAAGAAUAGUUCUCAGUUGUCUUUACAUCUUCUUACCAUUUUCUCAAUUGCAGUUUUUUUCCUCAAUCAUUACUUAGUUUUAAAAGAUGAAUGAAACUCUUCCUAGAAGAAAACAAAAUAUAAUGGUUCUUCGCUAAUUCUCAGAGGGAAGAAUCUUAAAGAAACAUUCUCUCCGCCCAAUUCCAGAGUGUUGCCAAUAUCUCCUACACAUAAACUGAAAUGAGUAGUUAAUAUUUCAUUGCAGCAUAUCAUAGCUAAACUUUGUUACAUUCAAGAAGUGAAACUAGGAUAUUACCCUGGUGGUCCAGUGGUUUAAGAUUCUGCACUUCGCGGGCAGGGGGCACGGCUUCGAUCCUUGGUUGGGGAACUAAGAUCCUGCAUGUUGCAUGGCAUGGCCAAAAAAAAAGUGAAACUAAUUUAAUUUCUACUUACAGGAAUAUGAAAGUCAGAUAGAAAAGGAUAUGUCCAUUUCAGAUGUGAAUUCUAUUACUGCACAAAGGAUUAAUUCUGCCAAUUUUCUGAAAAAGGUCCUUGGAUAUGCCUACUUAUUUGAUAUCAUCCAUGUCUCGCCUCAGACAUAAAGAAACAAUCAAAUCUUACCAUCUCUUUUGCUGGCACUCAGAAUGAUGUGUUUUAUUGGUGUUUCUUGGGCAGAGGAUAUGUGGGGUCAGAAUGGUCAAAUGAAGUCAUCCUGAAUAUUUAGUAUAUCCUCAAUAUCAAGUGUCAUAUAUUUAAUCUCAUAUAUAAUCUAUAUAUUGUGACUGUUUCAUACCCAGGUACCUAAGGGAUACUGAGUGUCCCUCUCUAUCUACAUUUAACACAGGUGUGCUCUACUUUCGUAUUUUAUGUUUAUCCGUGAAUUUUACCUAUGAGAAACAUUUUGCUUACUAGUUACUAAUCUACAGUUAAAACCUCUUAAAGGUUUUGCCUGUGUUUUGUAAAUAUGAUUUUAUUUAUGAUACACUUGAUAUUCUCAAAACAAAUGCACAUUUCAAGGCUGUUUUGUGAAAUAAGGACAUUUUAAAAUUACUACCAUUUUCUACAAUAAUCGGCUUAUUGGGCUUCCUUGUGGCUCAGC
This 1197-nucleotide long non-coding RNA is filed under the name Bos grunniens (domestic yak). RNAcentral describes it as "lncRNA (ENSBGRG00000025778.1)". Lineage: Eukaryota; Metazoa; Chordata; Mammalia; Artiodactyla; Bovidae. The record is from RNAcentral.